This 301-nucleotide ribosomal RNA is filed under the name uncultured bacterium. RNAcentral's name for it is "partial 16S ribosomal RNA". It matches the Rfam family "Bacterial small subunit ribosomal RNA", at positions 509 to 809 of the family's 1533-position model. The record is from RNAcentral.
CAGUCGCCGCGGUAAUACAGAGGGUGCGAGCGUUAAUCGGAUUUACUGGGCGUAAAGCGUGCGUAGGCGGCUUCUUAAGUCGGAUGUGAAAUCCCUGAGCUUAACUUAGGAAUUGCAUUCGAUACUGGGAAGCUAGAGUAUGGGAGAGGAUGGUAGAAUUCCAGGUGUAGCGGUGAAAUGCGUAGAGAUCUGGAGGAAUACCGAUGGCGAAGGCAGCCAUCUGGCCUAAUACUGACGCUGAGGUACGAAAGCAUGGGGAGCAAACAGGAUUAGAUACCCGUGUAGUCCCUGUCGCUUAUAC